AUGGCGCCCCAGAGGAGUGCCCUGAGGCCGCGGAUGCUGCUCCUACACCCGCCCUCGAGGCUGAGCAGCCGCCAUUGGCUCGUGGGUAUGGAAGCAGAGUCCGGGAUGGCGAUGGUGCUAAGGAGGACUCUUGGACGUCCACCGAUUGCAUCGCUGUUGCCGUACCCAUGGAGCGACGCGGCUCCAACUACUUUGAGAUGGUAUUCCUCCCUCUUUCUUUCCUAA
This 225-nucleotide ribosomal RNA is filed under the name Triticum aestivum (bread wheat). Its description in RNAcentral is "partial small subunit ribosomal RNA". Lineage: Eukaryota; Viridiplantae; Streptophyta; Magnoliopsida; Poales; Poaceae. The record is from RNAcentral.